Molecule: ribosomal RNA, 40 nt
Filed under: Swartzia arborescens
Lineage: Eukaryota; Viridiplantae; Streptophyta; Magnoliopsida; Fabales; Fabaceae
Also listed under: 3 other names
Description: partial 26S ribosomal RNA
Source: RNAcentral
CGGGACCUCAGGUCAGGCGGGGCUACCCGCUGAGUUUAAG